Long non-coding RNA from Lathyrus oleraceus (garden pea), 660 nucleotides. RefSeq lists it as uncharacterized. The record is from RefSeq and is a predicted model, not a curated record. The transcript has 2 exons. NCBI's taxonomy places the organism in Eukaryota, Viridiplantae, Streptophyta, Magnoliopsida, Fabales, Fabaceae.
UAUUAGUUAUUUAUCACUAUGAAUCUCAAGUGAUACAUUAUCAGAUUUAGUGAUAAAAAAAAAAACAAGAUUUGUAAUUGGAUGACUGAUUAAAUUUAUGCGUGGAUUCUGACUUGUGUGUGUUUGGCUCAUUCACUAAAAAAUUUGCUAGAUACAGUUAUACUAAACACAACUAUUGGUGGCUGCUGUUUGUAUCUUUUGACCUGCAAAGCAAGCUGCAAGGUGUGUUGAAAGGGAAAUCAGUGUCAAAACUCCCUCUAUGUAGCAAGAUAUCCAAAUCAAGUGUUUCUGAAGUUUGUGCAUUAUACCCAAAAUGGUAUUCUGACAAACCAAAAAAACUUGAUUCUGAAGUUUUUGGAAAUAUGAAUGCAUCAGAAAAACUUUCCAUCAUUGUCUCAUUUUCUGAUCCAAUUGAUAGAGAAGGAAAACAAAACCAAUGGUAAAUAUCCUCUUUGGUUUCAUCAUGUUCUUCUUUCAAAGUGGAACUAGCUUCUUGAGUUUGUAGGUUGAGAGCAUGUGUGUCUUCCUAUGUAAGUAACCUCAAUUAUUGUUGGAUCUUCAUCUGACCUUUGAAUUUGUUUUGUUGCUAAACAUCCUUGUUCUUUUCUAUGUGUGCAUCUGUAAUAUCCUCUGCAAUCCAAACCACUAUUAGUUUUUAGA